Small nucleolar RNA from Cavia aperea (Brazilian guinea pig), 137 nucleotides. The record is from Ensembl. Lineage: Eukaryota; Metazoa; Chordata; Mammalia; Rodentia; Caviidae.
CCGGCCCUGAAUCAAGGCCGGCAGCUUCCUGACACUGUUGGUUUCAAGCAGGAGCCUAAAGAGAUGUCUUUCUGUGGUCUGUUGGCCACUUCAGAGCUUGGGCCGUGAAAUGGUCAAUUCAUUAGAGAGAAACAGCU